This 559-nucleotide ribosomal RNA is filed under the name Raorchestes rezakhani. Its description in RNAcentral is "partial large subunit ribosomal RNA". It matches the Rfam family "Bacterial large subunit ribosomal RNA", at positions 1854 to 2621 of the family's 2925-position model. Lineage: Eukaryota; Metazoa; Chordata; Amphibia; Anura; Rhacophoridae. The record is from RNAcentral.
UGGCCUGGCCCAGUUGAACCAAUGUUGUUUCAACGGCCGCGGUAUUCUGACCGCGCGAAGGUAGCGUAAUCACUUGUCUUCUAAUUAGAGACUAGUAUGAACGGCCACACGAAGACUUGACUGUCUCCCCUGUCCAAUCAGUGAAACUGAUCCCCUCGUGCAGAAGCGAGGAUAGACCCAUAAGACGAGAAGACCCUAUGGAGCUUUAAACUCAAUAUUAACUACUUUUUUUAUACCCUCUAAGGAGCCAACAAAUAAAUUUUUAACUUAAUAUUAGUUUUAGGUUGGGGCGACCAUGGAGAAAAAAAAAUCCUCCCUGAUGAUUUGUAACCAAGAGCCACAGCUCUAAGUAUUAAGAUACUUAACUUCCAUUGACCCAUUUUAUGAUCAACGAACCAAGUUACCCUAGGGAUAACAGCGCUAUCCAUUUCAAGAGUUCCUAUCGACAAAUGGGUUUACGACCUCGAUGUUGGAUCAGGGCAUCCUAGUGGUGCAACCGCUACUAACGGUUCGUUUGUUCAACGAUUAAAGCCCUACGUGAUCUGAGUUCAAACCGGAG